AUUGAACGCUGGCGGCAUGCCUUACACAUGCAAGUCGAACGGUAACGGGCCUUCGGGUGCCGACGAGUGGCGAACGGGUGAGUAAUGCAUCGGAACGUACCUUUCAGUGGGGGAUAACGUAGCGAAAGUUACGCUAAUACCGCAUAUUCUGUGAGCAGGAAAGCAGGGGAUCGCAAGACCUUGCGCUGAUUGAGCGGCCGAUGUCAGAUUAGCUAGUUGGUGAGGUAAAGGCUCACCAAGGCGACGAUCUGUAGCGGGUCUGAGAGGAUGAUCCGCCACACUGGAACUGAGACACGGUCCAGACUCCUACGGGAGGCAGCAGUGGGGAAUUUUUGGACAAUGGGCGCAAGCCUGAUCCAGCCAUGCCGCGUGAGUGAAGAAGGCCUU
RNAcentral lists this ribosomal RNA (387 nucleotides) under uncultured bacterium. RNAcentral describes it as "bacterial SSU rRNA". It matches the Rfam family "Bacterial small subunit ribosomal RNA", at positions 30 to 418 of the family's 1533-position model. The record is from RNAcentral.